AUUGAACGCUGGCGGCAUGCUUUACACAUGCAAGUCGAACGGUAACAGGUUAAGCUGACGAGUGGCGAACGGGUGAGUAAUGCAUCGGAACGUGCCCGAUCGUGGGGGAUAACGCAGCGAAAGCUGCGCUAAUACCGCAUACGAUCUGAGGAUGAAAGCGGGGGACCGUAAGGCCUCGCGCGAUCGGAGCGGCCGAUGUCAGAUUAGGUAGUUGGUGGGGUAAAGGCUCACCAAGCCAACGAUCUGUAGCUGGUCUGAGAGGACGACCAGCCACACUGGGACUGAGACACGGCCCAGACUCCUACGGGAGGCAGCAGUGGGGAAUUUUGGACAAUGGGCGAAAGCCUGAUCCAGCAAUGCCGCGUGCAGGAAGAAGGCCUUCGGGUUGUAAACUGCUUUUGUACGGAGCGAAAAGGUUCUCUCUGAUACAGAGGGCUCAUGACGGUACCGUAAGAAUAAGCACCGGCUAACUACGUGCCAGCCGCCGCGGUAA
RNAcentral lists this ribosomal RNA (493 nucleotides) under uncultured bacterium. RNAcentral describes it as "partial 16S ribosomal RNA". It matches the Rfam family "Bacterial small subunit ribosomal RNA", at positions 30 to 523 of the family's 1533-position model. The record is from RNAcentral.